Molecule: ribosomal RNA, 466 nt
Filed under: uncultured bacterium
Lineage: Bacteria
Description: partial 16S ribosomal RNA
Rfam family: Bacterial small subunit ribosomal RNA
Source: RNAcentral
GAUGAACGCUGGCGGCGUGCUUAACACAUGCAAGUCGAACGAUGAAGCCCAGCUUGCUGGGUGGAUUAGUGGCGAACGGGUGAGUAACACGUGAGUAACCUGCCCUUAACUCUGGGAUAAGCCUGGGAAACUGGGUCUAAUACCGGAUAGGAGCGUCCACCGCAUGGUGGGUGUUGGAAAGAUUUAUCGGUUUUGGAUGGACUCGCGGCCUAUCAGCUUGUUGGUGAGGUAAUGGCUCACCAAGGCGACGACGGGUAGCCGGCCUGAGAGGGUGACCGGCCACACUGGGACUGAGACACGGCCCAGACUCCUACGGGAGGCAGCAGUGGGGAAUAUUGCACAAUGGACGCAAGCCUGAUGCUGCGACGCCGCGUGAGGGAUGACGGCCUUCGGGUUGUAAACCUCUUUCAGUAGGGAAGAAGCGAAAGUGACGGUACCUGCAGAAGAAGCACCGGCUAACUACGUG